RNAcentral lists this ribosomal RNA (510 nucleotides) under uncultured bacterium. Its description in RNAcentral is "partial 16S ribosomal RNA". It matches the Rfam family "Bacterial small subunit ribosomal RNA", at positions 28 to 507 of the family's 1533-position model. The record is from RNAcentral.
GACGAACGCUGGCGGCGUGCUUAACACAUGCAAGUCGAACGAAGAGCGAUGGAAGCUUGCUUCUCUCAAUCUUAGUGGCGCACGGGUGAGUAACGCGUAAUCAACCUGCCCUUCAGAGGGGGACAACAGUUGGAAACGACUGCUAAUACCGCAUACGAUCCAAUCUCGGCAUCGGGACUGGAUGAAAGGUGGCCUCUAUUUAUAAGCUAUCACUGCAGGAGGGGAUUGCGUCUGAUUAGCUAGUUGGAGGGGUAACGGCCCACCAAGGCGAUGAUCAGUAGCCGGUCUGAGAGGAUGAACGGCCACAUUGGGACCGAGACACGGCCCAGACUCCUACGGGAGGCAGCAGUGGGGAAUCUUCCGCAAUGGACGAAAGUCUGACGGAGCAACGCCGCGUGAGUGAUGACGGCCUUCGGGUUGUAAAGCUCUGUUAAUCGGGACGAAUGGUUCUUGUGCGAAUAGUGCGAGGAUUUGACGGUACCGGAAUAGAAAGCCACGGCUAACUACGUG